CUCACACCUCUGGUAAUGGCCCAUGUUCUUGUGUAUUUUUUUUUUUUUUUUCAGAUUCUGGCUGCAAACUCCUGGAGGAUGUGGUUGAAAAGACCAUCAAUUCCGACAUAUCUAUACCUGAGUACAAAGAGCUUCUUCAAGAAUUCACAGACAGCGAGGCCGCCGCGGAGGCUAUGGGGAAGUUCAAGCAGUGCUUCCUCAGCCAGUCACAUAGAACUCUGACAAACUUCGGACUGAUGAUG
Molecule: RNA transcript, 242 nt
Organism: Cercocebus atys (sooty mangabey)
Lineage: Eukaryota; Metazoa; Chordata; Mammalia; Primates; Cercopithecidae
Gene name: mammaglobin-B pseudogene
Exons: 1
Source: RefSeq, a predicted model, not a curated record